AUGAAUCAGUGAAGAAAUGUAAGAGGGGCUAGAGUUGGUUAGAGCUUUAUAGGUAAGGGUUAGUAUUUUAAAUUGACACCUGUAGGGGACAGGAAGCCAGUGUAAGGAUUGACAGAGGGGUGAAGUGUGAGAAUUGGGGAGAGCAGUACAGUAAGCGAUGCAAGAGAUUACUAGGACAUGAACAAGCUCCUUGGCAGCAUCUUGCGUAUGAAAGAUGUGUAUGCGGGCAAUGUUUUUAAGUUGGAAUCGACAUGUUUUAGCAACAGGGGAGGCCAGGAUCAAAAGUGACACCAAUACAGCGAGCUUGAAAGGAUGGGGCGAGGCAGGUACCAUUAACCUGCAGGGAGAGUGAAGGAGGAGGAUCAGUGUUAUGAGGAGGAAAAAAAGGAAACUAAAUUUUAGAGAGAUUGUGUUUCUGAAAGCGGGAGGACAUCCAGUCAGAGAUAGAAGAAAGGCAAUUGGUGACACAUUGUAGGACAGCAGGGGAGGAG
Non-coding RNA from Pelobates cultripes (western spadefoot toad), 491 nucleotides. Lineage: Eukaryota; Metazoa; Chordata; Amphibia; Anura; Pelobatidae. The record is from the annotation of a GenBank genome assembly.